GAUGAAGAACGCAGCGAAAUGCGAUACGUAAUGUGAAUUGCAGAUUUCAGUGAAUCAUCGAAUCUUUGAACGCACAUUGCGCCCCCUGGUAUUCCGGGGGGCAUGCCUGUUCGAGCGUCAUUUCACCACUCAAGCCUCGCUUGGUAUUGGGCAACGCGGUCCGCCGCGUGCCUCAAAUCGACCGGCUGGGUCUUCUGUCCCCUAAGCGUUGUGGAAACUAUUCGCUAAAGGGUGUUCGGGAGGCUACGCCGUAAAACAACCCCAUUUCUAAGGUUGACCUCGGAUCAGGUAGGGAUACCCGCUGAACUUAAGCAUAUCAAUAAGCGGAGGA
Molecule: unclassified non-coding RNA, 331 nt
Filed under: soil metagenome
Description: partial contains 5.8S ribosomal RNA, internal transcribed spacer 2, and large subunit ribosomal RNA
Rfam family: 5.8S ribosomal RNA (bases 1-120)
Source: RNAcentral